This is a long non-coding RNA of Symphalangus syndactylus (siamang), 1522 nucleotides long. RefSeq lists it as uncharacterized. Lineage: Eukaryota; Metazoa; Chordata; Mammalia; Primates; Hylobatidae. The record is from RefSeq and is a predicted model, not a curated record.
AGCACUCCCUGCUGUCCAAGGCCGCUGCCUGCUGGCUCUAGCUCUCUCAUAGGGACCUGGGCUGCAGGCCUUCUCCGCAGAAGCCCUGGAGGAGGCAGGAGGGAGCAGGGCUCCUUUCCCUCACUGCUCCGUCCCUUUGGUUCCCUCUGAGAUGACACAGCCAGCUGGGCAGGGGAUGAACAUUUCUUCACAGGGUAUUGGUACGAUCAUAAGAGGAGCUACAGUGUCCAAGAGGAAGAUGAAAGCUCAUACUCUCCUGACACUUCCCAGGCUCUCCCAGAUCAAAGGGCAGUGAACACAGACUGCAGUUCUCAAAGGAGGAGGAUCAGCGUCACACUGGGACUGGCAUAGGCUGGUGUAGCCAUCUUUGGAAAAUACCAUCUUCCUCAAGUGAAACUUUAAAACCAGAUCUGUUGGUACUGAUGGAGUUCAGGUGGUUUACAAGCUUUUGAUACUUUGAAAAUGCUGAGAUAAACUUUUUUUUUUUUUUAUACGGAGUCUCGCCUUGUUGCCUGUACAUCCUCUACCGGUAACAGAUUUUGGUGAGCCAGCUAGGAGCCAGAAUCUCCCUCUGUUGCCCAGGCUGGAGCACAGUGGUGUGAUCUUGGUUCACUGCAAACUCCACCUCUCAGGUUCAAGUGAUUCUCCUGCCUCAGCCUCUCCAGUAGCUAAGGCUACAGUCAAGCAGGGUUGCUUGGGCCGCUCAGGGAAAGAGAACCCAGAAGCCUGGCAUGCCAGCAAAAUGAGACCAUCAAACCAGAUGAUCAUGCGACAAGUGUUCCAGCCAGUUCCAGGUGAAGACACCACACCCUGAAGAAGAUACCUUGUUUCCACUAGACAGAAGAGGGCAAGAAUUCCAUGAUUCCAUGAUUCCCAAUAUGUAAGGACUACACCCCAAUCAGCAUGAGGCAAUUACAGAAGAAAGACCAUUGGUCCCUCUGCCUCCCAUAAAGAUUUAUGGGGAUCACAUCUCUCAGGGAAAAAUAAGGCAGGAGAAUAGGCUCUGGAGGCAGGGAUCAUAAGGCUGAUUCACACUGACUUCCUAGAACUAAACCAAAAGGAAAACCCCAACUUUCCACACCUAAGUAACAAAAGGACUGGAGGCUACUCCCUUUGCAAACCACCCCCUGCAGCCCUUUUUCUACAUGGCAGAUGGAAAAUUUAAAGUAUCUCUGAGAGGUUGCAGGUUGCAGAAAGCAACCAAUCAGAGGCUUGCAUAGGAGUGUAACUUUGUAACUUCAGCCUCUGAUUGGUUGCUUUUCACAACCAAUCAGACACUUGCAUAAGUGUAACCUUUGUAACUUCAGCCUCUGACUGGUUGCUUUCCUAAACCAAACAGACUAAUUGUGGGCCACUACUUCAUUUAUAUAGCGUGUACACCAAGUAACCAAUGGGAAGCCUCUAGAUGGUAUUUAAACCCCAGAAAAUUCUGUAAUGGGGCUCUUGAGCCCCUAUGCUCCGGCCGCUCCCACCCUGUGGAGUGUACUUUGAUUUUCAAUAAAUCUCUGCUUUUGUUGCUUCA